GAUGAAGAACGCAGCGAAAUGCGAUAAGUAGUGUGAAUUGCAGAAUUCAGUGAAUCAUCGAAUCUUUGAACGCACAUUGCGCCCCUUGGUAUCCCGAGGGGCAUGCCUGUUCGAGCGUCAUUUCACCACUCAAGCCUGGCUUGGUGUUGGGCGACGUCCUCUUUGGGGACGCGCCUCGAAACGCUCGGCGGCUUGGCACCGGCUUUAAGCGUAGCAGAAUCUUUCGCUUUGGAAGUCGGGGCCCCGUCUGCCGGAAGACCUGCUCGCAAGGUUGACCUCGGAUCAGGCAGGGAUACCCGCUGAACUUAAGCAUAUCAAUAAGCGGAGGA
Molecule: unclassified non-coding RNA, 329 nt
Filed under: soil metagenome
Description: partial contains 5.8S ribosomal RNA, internal transcribed spacer 2, and large subunit ribosomal RNA
Rfam family: 5.8S ribosomal RNA (bases 1-120)
Source: RNAcentral